RNAcentral lists this long non-coding RNA (430 nucleotides) under Theobroma cacao (cacao). Its description in RNAcentral is "long non-coding RNA (TCAC_LNC005682)". The record is from RNAcentral. Lineage: Eukaryota; Viridiplantae; Streptophyta; Magnoliopsida; Malvales; Malvaceae.
AUAGGGGGCGGUGAUCUACGUCGCAAGGGUGAUGGAGAUUUACGGCGCACAGGAAACAGAGAUCUACGACGUAUAGGUGAUGGAGAUCUACGGCGCCCAGGCGAAGGAGAUCUACGAUGCACAGGUGAUGGAGAUCUUCGACGCACAAGUGAUGGAGAUCUACGACGUCGAACAAGGGAUGGUGAUCUGUGACGUCGAUUUGAUAAUGGUGAUCUAUGACGUCGGAUUGGUGAUGGUGAUCUAUGACGUCGGAUUGGUGAUGGUGAUCUAUGACGUCGGAUAGGUGAUGGUGAUCUAUGACGCCGGAUGGGUGACCGUGAUCUACGACGCACGGGUGUAGGUGAUCUGCGCCGAUAUGGGGAACGUAAUCUACGUCUUAUAGGAGAUCGUGAUCUGCGAGGUGAGCGAGAUCGAGAUCUUCGCCUAGAAU